This 289-nucleotide ribosomal RNA is filed under the name Serratia marcescens. RNAcentral's name for it is "partial 16S ribosomal RNA". It matches the Rfam family "Bacterial small subunit ribosomal RNA", at positions 1236 to 1524 of the family's 1533-position model. The record is from RNAcentral. Lineage: Bacteria; Pseudomonadati; Pseudomonadota; Gammaproteobacteria; Enterobacterales; Yersiniaceae.
UAUACAAAGAGAAGCGACCUCGCGAGAGCAAGCGGACCUCAUAAAGUACGUCGUAGUCCGGAUUGGAGUCUGCAACUCGACUCCAUGAAGUCGGAAUCGCUAGUAAUCGUAGAUCAGAAUGCUACGGUGAAUACGUUCCCGGGCCUUGUACACACCGCCCGUCACACCAUGGGAGUGGGUUGCAAAAGAAGUAGGUAGCUUAACCUUCGGGAGGGCGCUUACCACUUUGUGAUUCAUGACUGGGGUGAAGUCGUAACAAGGUAACCGUAGGGGAACCUGCGGUUGGAUC